This 171-nucleotide ribosomal RNA is filed under the name Clavariaceae sp. RNAcentral describes it as "partial large subunit ribosomal RNA". It matches the Rfam family "Eukaryotic large subunit ribosomal RNA", at positions 99 to 261 of the family's 3401-position model. The record is from RNAcentral. Lineage: Eukaryota; Fungi; Basidiomycota; Agaricomycetes; Agaricales; Clavariaceae.
AGGGAAAAGCUCAAAUUUUAAAUCUGGCAGUAUCUUGCUGUCUGAGUUGUAAAUUCAAGAAGUGUUAACCAUAGCUGGACCAUGCACAAGUCUCUUGGAAAAGAGCAUCAUAGAGGGUGACAAUCCCGUCUCUGGCAUGGACUCCCAGCUUUCCUGUGUUUCACUUUCAAU